UACGGAGGGUGCAAGCGUUGCUCGGAAUUAUUGGGCGUAAAGGGUAGGUAGGUGGUCUCGUUUGUCUGGGGUGAAAGCCCUAAGCUCAACUUAGGAAUGUCCUCAGAAACGGCGAGACUGGAGUACUGGAGAGGGUCGCGGAAUUCCCGGUGUAGCGGUGAAAUGCGUAGAGAUCGGGAGGAACACCAGAGGCGAAAGCGGCGGCCUGGACAGUAACUGACACUCAACUACGAAAGCGUGGGGAUCAAACAGG
RNAcentral lists this unclassified non-coding RNA (253 nucleotides) under uncultured Oligoflexales bacterium. RNAcentral describes it as "contains 16S-23S intergenic spacer region". It matches the Rfam family "Bacterial small subunit ribosomal RNA", at positions 524 to 776 of the family's 1533-position model. Lineage: Bacteria; Pseudomonadati; Bdellovibrionota; Oligoflexia; Oligoflexales. The record is from RNAcentral.